UCUACCUAGUAGUACGGAAUAAUUGCUGGAAACGGCAGCUAAUGCCGUAUACGCCCUAUGGGGGAAAGAUUUAUUGCUAUUAGAUGAGCCUAUAUUAGAUUAGCUAGUUGGUAAGGUAAUGGCUUACCAAGGCUAUGAUCUAUAGCUGGUCUGAGAGGAUGAUCAGCCACACUGGAACUGAGAUACGGUCCAGACUCCUACGGGAGGCAGCAGUGGGGAAUAUUGGACAAUGAGCGGAAGCUUGAUCCAGCUAUGCCGCGUGAGUGAAGAAGGCCCUUGGGUUGUAAAGCUCUUUCAGUGAGGAAGAUAAUGACGGUACUCACAGAAGAAGUCCUGGCUAACUCCGUGCCAGCAGCCGCGGUAAUACGGAGAGGGCUAGCGUUAUUCGGAAUUAUUGGGCGUAAAGAGCACGUAGGCCGAUCAGUAAGUUAAAAGUGAAAUUCCAAAGCUUAACUUUGGAAUUGCUUUUAAAACUGCUGACCUAGAGAUUGAAAGAGGAUAGAGGAAUUCCUAGUGUAGAGGUGAAAUUCGUAAAUAUUAGGAGGAACACCAGUGGCGAAGGCG
This 564-nucleotide ribosomal RNA is filed under the name Wolbachia endosymbiont of Dirofilaria repens. RNAcentral's name for it is "bacterial SSU rRNA". It matches the Rfam family "Bacterial small subunit ribosomal RNA", at positions 125 to 723 of the family's 1533-position model. The record is from RNAcentral. Lineage: Bacteria; Pseudomonadati; Pseudomonadota; Alphaproteobacteria; Rickettsiales; Anaplasmataceae.